AUUGAACGCUGGCGGCAUGCCUUACACAUGCAAGUCGAACGGCAGCACGGACUUCGGUCUGGUGGCGAGUGGCGAACGGGUGAGUAAUACAUCGGAACGUGCCUAGUAGUGGGGGAUAACUACUCGAAAGAGUGGCUAAUACCGCAUGAGAUCUACGGAUGAAAGCAGGGGAUCGCAAGACCUUGUGCUACUAGAGCGGCCGAUAUCGGAUUAGCUAGUUGGUGAGGUAACGGCUCACCAAGGCGACGAUCCGUAGCUGGUUUGAGAGGACGACCAGCCACACUGGGACUGAGACACGGCCCAG
This 304-nucleotide ribosomal RNA is filed under the name uncultured bacterium. Its description in RNAcentral is "bacterial SSU rRNA". It matches the Rfam family "Bacterial small subunit ribosomal RNA", at positions 30 to 334 of the family's 1533-position model. The record is from RNAcentral.